GAUUAACGCUGGCGGCGUGCAUGAACAUGCAAGUCGAGCGCGGUACGUGGCUUCGGUCACGUAUCUAGCGGCGCACGGGUGAGUAACACGUGAGCAACCUACCUUCGAGUUCGGGAUAGCCCUGGGAAACCAGGAUUAAUACCGGAUGUGGUCACAACGGGACAUCCCGAUGUAGAAAAAGGCGCAAGCCGCUCGAUGACGGGCUCGCGGCCUAUUAGCUUGUUGGNGGGUAACGGCCUACCAAGGCGACGAUGGGUAGCUGGUCUGAGAGGACGAUCAGCCACACUGGGACUGAGACA
Molecule: ribosomal RNA, 299 nt
Filed under: uncultured bacterium
Lineage: Bacteria
Description: partial 16S ribosomal RNA
Rfam family: Bacterial small subunit ribosomal RNA
Source: RNAcentral